This 503-nucleotide ribosomal RNA is filed under the name uncultured bacterium. RNAcentral's name for it is "partial 16S ribosomal RNA". It matches the Rfam family "Bacterial small subunit ribosomal RNA", at positions 355 to 847 of the family's 1533-position model. The record is from RNAcentral.
UGGGGAAUAUUGGACAAUGGGCGCAAGCCUGAUCCAGCAAUGCCGCGUGUGUGAAGAAGGCCUUCGGGUUGUAAAGCACUUUUAUCAGGAGCGAAACGCUGUCGGCUAAUACCCGGCGGAACUGACGGUACCUGAGGAAUAAGCACCGGCUAACUUCGUGCCAGCAGCCGCGGUAAUACGAAGGGUGCAAGCGUUAAUCGGAAUUACUGGGCGUAAAGCGUGCGUAGGCGGUUUCUUAAGUCUGCUGUGAAAUCCCCGGGCUCAACCUGGGAAUGGCAGUGGAUACUGGGAGGCUAGAGUGUGUCAGAGGGUGGUGGAAUUCCCGGUGUAGCGGUGAAAUGCGUAGAGAUCGGGAGGAACAUCAGUGGCGAAGGCGGCCACCUGGGACAACACUGACGCUGAGGCACGAAAGCGUGGGGAGCAAAGCAGGAUUAGAUACCCUGGUAGUCCACGCCCUAAAGCGAUGCGAACUGGAUGUUGGUCUCAACUCGGAGAUCAGUGUC